This 22460-nucleotide long non-coding RNA is filed under the name Fragaria vesca (wild strawberry). RNAcentral's name for it is "long non-coding RNA (FVES_LNC000311)". The record is from RNAcentral. Lineage: Eukaryota; Viridiplantae; Streptophyta; Magnoliopsida; Rosales; Rosaceae.
UAUCUUCAAUUGAGUCCUUGGCAUCAAUUUUAUUUUUUUACCGAUUUCAAAUAUGGCAAAGAAAAAAAAGAACCAAGAAACUGGUUUUCCAAAAAUCAACAUGGUCAGAAACAAGGAAGAACAACAAAGGCAAAACAACCUCGGCACCAACUAGCAAUAACCAGCUACACAUACAUGUAUAAGUACACAAAAUGAACACUGAAUACAAUAAGGGAGAAACUAAUCCUUUUGAAUAAACCAACAAACUUUUGAUUAAAUCAACAAACUUUCAGUAGCAACAGUUAGUUAUUAAAUGAAAGUAAUAUACCGUGAAUCCAUCAGACUUGAAGUGUUUGAGGAGCCAGUUCCACUCACACUACCAGAAGAAAGACUUUAGCCGACGAAAAUAAAAAAACCAGGCUGACGAAUUAUUUUUUCGUCGGCUAAUUAAAAAUUUUCGUCGUCUGAAUAAUUUUUUUCGUCGGCUAUAGUCUGUGAACUUUAGCCGACGAAAUUUUUAAAAUUUUAUCCGACGAAAAAUAUAAUUUCGUCGGCUAAAGUGCCUUAAUUUCGUCGGCUAAAGUGUCUUAUAUUUGCAGAUCUGGACAACAACUCAUCUGGGAAAAAAAACUAAUACGUAGAACCUUCAAACGUAAAAAAGUCGUGAAAUAAGAUAUGACCAGAAUGGUGAAAUACGUUUACGGUUGAAAAAUCACGGUAUUCCGAUAAAGUCUCGGUGCCGAUAGUUGCGGUCAAUGCAAUUGACUCUUAUUAUUCACUAUGCUGCAGAUUUGGUUUUUGGUGUCCGAUUGACUAUUGUGAUACCUUUCCGGAAGCGUAACGGUCCUACGAGUCAAACUCAGUGUUAAUGACAUGACGUAUGGGCCUUUUUGGUCAUCGGAGUCCGUUUAGGGCUUCAAAAUGCAGUUUUUUUAUUUCCGAUUAGAGUUGACCGUUUUGUUCGAGCCCUUAACGUUGUCGAAUCCAGUUGAAUUUUUUACCAUAAACAUCUUUCAUCAUAAUGAUCAUAUCUGACGGUCGAAUUUUGGUUUGUAAAUUUUAGUCAUCGGAAUCACGUGUCUACUAUUUACCGUUAUUAUUCCCUAUGGGGAGCCCUAUCGUCGGAAGGUAAAUGUCUCAAAAUUUUUAUAUGGGCAGUUGCGUCUCUUCUACGUGAGAGUUUUUUGUGUGGAAGGUUUGACCAAACCACGUAAUAUAGAGGGAGAUAUGAGCGUUUUCGUGUGAUAAGUGACGAUGGAUUAGGGUUGACCGUUUCAAUCGAGUCCUUAAUGUUGUCGGAUCCAGUUGAAAUUUUUACCAUAGACAUCUUUCGUCAUAAUGAUCAUAUCUGACGGUUGAAUUUUGGUUUGUGAAUUUAGUCAUCGGAAUCACAACGUGUCUACUAAUGUUGUAUAACUUGUUUAGUAGGUUAUACAACUUUGUGAACCAACUCUAUAUAGGAAGCAAAAUUAUCAAAAAUCUUGUGAAAUAAGAUGUGUUCAGAAUGGUGAAAUACGGCUAUGGUUCAAAAAUCACGUAAAUUAGGUAAAGUCUCGGUGCCGAUAGUAGCGGUCAACCCUAUUUACUGUUAUUAUUCCCUAUGGGGAGCCCUAUCGUCGGAAGGUAAAUGUCUCAAAAUUUGUAUAUAGGCGGUUGCGUCUCAUCUAUGUGAAAGUUUUUCGUGUGGAAUGUUUGACCAAACUACGUAAUAUAGAGGGAGAUAUGAGCGUUUUCGUGAAUUUAUAGACUUUAGCCAACGAGAUAUUAAAAAAGUCGUCGGCUAAGGUCAAAAAUUUUUGAGCAGUAAACCAAAUUUGGAGGAAAAUUUUCAAAGGACUUUAGCCGACGAAAAUAUAUGAAAAGUCGUCGGCUAAAGUCGAAAAAUUUUCAAAAUUUUCAACCAAAAUUUUUUGACGGUCAACCAAAAUUUUCAAAAUUUUCAAAAGAGUUUAGCCGACGAAAAUAAAGAAUUUCGUCAGCGAAAGUUCUUUAUAUAGGAGUUUUACCGAAGGUGGAUGGUAAGAAGUCUGUUUCGCCUGCCAGAUUUUCUUCUCGGCCUACCUCUGCCGUUAAGCCACCGGAUACCGCCACACUUGUCCCAAAAGCUUCGCCGUCGUCUCUACUUCAUUGCUGGAUAGGUGGUGCAUCGAGUGGCGCCGCCGUGAGGGAUAAAUCGAGCUCCAAAACUCGGCCAGUUCGGAUUCGGUGUCGAUCGAAUUUCUCCUUCCUCAGGUCACCAUUUGGUGAGUUCUAUAUAUGGAUAAGUUGAGUUUGAUUAGUACUACAUUCCCCUAGAAUUUGGUAGCUCGAUUCGGUAUGUGUGAGGAGAAUUGAAGAUUUGAAGUUUUUAGGGUUUAAAAUUAGGGAUUUUUAUAUUUUGAUUCAAUUGACCUGUUUAGGCUUAGAAUUGGGCUUCGACUUCUUCUAGAAAGUUGUUCGAAAUAUUGAGAGGAAGAUUCUGUCAAAUUUUAGUGGUGAUUGGAGGUGGCCGAAAGUUUCUGCAGUUUUUUUUUUCAAAAACCAGCAACUUUAGCCGACGAAAUUUGGUAAGUAUUUUUAAAUAGCCGACGAUAUUUAAAGGUUUAUUCGUCGGCUAUAGUAUUUUUAAAUUUUUUAUAAGGUUUAGCUGACGAAACAGACUAUAUUUCGUCGGCUAUAGUCUGGGAAAAAAAUUUUUAUUACAGACUUUAGCCGACGAAUAUCUUAAUUGUUUCGUCGUCUAAAGUCUGGGAAAAAAACCGACGACAUGUUUUUCGUCAGCUAAACUGUGGGACUAUAGUCGACAAAAUUUUUUUUUUUCGUCGGCUAAAGUCACCACAGACGACCUUUUCCUGACGAAAUCUUAGCUGACGAUGGCUUGUCGGCUAAGAUCUUAGCCGACGAAUUAAGCUAACAGGCUAACGAAACUUUUUCGUCAGCUAAAGUGUUUGUCCUGGUAGUGUCAUCCAGCCGAUGUUCAAACUCUUCUUGGAUCUUCCUCGGGUUUGCUUCCUAAUUGUAUUUAUAGUGCACUUCCAAUUUUUGUACACAUUUUUAGCCUUGUCGUCCAACCACUUCCACAUGAGCUUAUCUUCAACAUCAAACUCAUAAAAGAUCUGUUAAAACAUGAACAACAUUAUUUAUCUCAUAAUUCUACAACUAAUUAAGCAUUGAGUGAACACAUGAACAACAGAAAAAGUCCUUACAAAGAGUUUAGUGGGCAGCUUCUUCUGCUCAUCAUCAGUAGUGUCACCCCAAGUUGGAGCCACCAUGGAAAUUUCGUCCCGUAUAAUGUGGCCGACGUCGUGUGUCAACAUGCUGCUUAACUCUUUACUCUUCAGACCGUGGCAGAAAUCGUCCCAAGUUACUUUAAUCUUGAAUCCAGUCCUCUUGACUAUCUCCUCCGCUUUUAAGCCUUUUACCACCCCUGUCUUGGUAUUAGGGGGAGGUGCUGCGAAAAAAAAAACAGUUUCUGUCAAAACCAAAUGCAAAAGAAACAAACGAUCAAUAAGUGAAGAGGCCAGUGCAAUAUGAAAACAUGCUUGGUAGGUCAAGAUGUAGUUCAAGCAACAAAAAAAGAUGGAUACACUGCAAUAUGUGAAGCACCAGUUAUGAAUUUAUGAACUACUUUGAUGCAUAUUCUAAUCUCUUUUUCCACAUUUUAUAAAUCGAUCAAUAUACCAAAGUUAAAUAUCCUAUAGCUUAGACACUCUCUCUUAAGCCUAUGUCUAAGUAAGUCCACAAUGUGCAUAACAUAGCAAAAAGUAAAAUAGAAUAAGAGAAGAACCAAGCAAUACCAUAUAAGAUGACACCACAUGCAGCGGAUAACAAAUGACAGUAGCCUUAUCCAAAAUUUAUUCCAAAAUAUGCAUGUUAAAAUCCAUGAAAUUGCAUUAAGGAUGCAUAAAAUGCAGUUUUGUUACAAAACCACUAGGGAACCUAGUUUUAUUUCCACUGAUUCUCAUUCACCAAUCACACAAGUCGAGGUCUCCUAGGGAUAACAGAAUUGAGCAGCUACCACUUCUAAAUGAAUUUGCCGAUAACCAACACCAUCUCAAUGUAUAAAAAUAUUAAUGCAUACAAGAACCAACGCCAUGAUCUACAAUAUCAUAGCUAUCCCCCCGAUCAAAGCAUAUUAAUUUCUAUAGCUCAAGAUCUAACACUAGCUAAAAGCUCACUGACUCCUACACAAGCAAAUCAAAUUCCUUCCGAAAGAUACACAUAAUCCAUGAACACCAUCCUAAUAAAACGCAAUUUGGUGUUAUCAUCAAAAACAUGACUUUAUGAUAAUAAUAACAACAAUACUCAGAAACCAAUAUCCAAACCAAUAUCCAAAAUUUACUCAUUCACUACACAAAACCUAGAAACCAAUAUCCAAAAUUUACUACACCCAACUAGAAAAUCAAAAGGUUAAGAGGCAGAUGAGUACGGGUGAGGAAAAUUACCUCCUUUAGGAUGCGGUUUGCUCCGAACGCUGAUGAUACACCCCGAACCUAGUAAUUAUUUUUAUAUUAUGAUUUCCGGUUUAGUGGUAGCUAAUCAAUUCGGAAAUUUAGUAUGUUAUCCUUCAUAGAGGUGGUCUAGUCGAGUUCAUUGAUUUUUUUAGUUACCCGAAUAAGAGUUCGUAAAUGAAGGGUAGUUAAAUAAUAAUAGUACCCAUUUUUGGGCUUAGGCAUUUAAGGGAGACUUACCUUUUGGUUAAGGUAAAAAAAUUAGAAAAUACACAUCCCUCAUCCUUUCUCUCUCCCCGAGCCCGACCCUAACCCCGAACCGUCCGGCUUCUCCCCGACCGAUCGCCACCGUCCAACCACGCCUGGCCACCACACGGGUCGCGUCUAGCAGCUGGGACACCGCUCGUCCAGCCUGGGGUGGUGACCGGUCCUUACUUGCUGGCAUUAAGGCGCGGUGACGCCGCUGCUGCCGCGUGGUUGCUCUUGCCAGAACUCCCUUCUCCAGCCAUCAAUUCAAGGUAUCUUUGGGGGGUUUUGUAGCUCUUUGAUUAGUCUUUGAACCACCCAAAAGAGGUAGAACGAUUUGGAGUAUAGAGCAAAUCGGAGCUCUUGAGUUCUUGAGUUUAUAAUGAGUUUUCCGGCCAAAUCUUUGAGCUCUAGAGUUUGUGUUAGUCAUGAUUGUUGUUAUGCUUAAUGAGAGGAAGAGUUUGAUGUAUGCCUUGUUAAUUUUGGUUGAAGUUGAUCUAGUGGUGGUGGUUGACCGCCAUUGCCGGCGGUUGACCGCCACAGCCGGUGACUGCUGCCGGUUUUGGUGGUGGUUUUGAGUAAUUUUGGAUGAGUUCUAGAAGGGAUAAAUGUUGUUGUAUUGUAUGGUGAUUUUUGGUGAAGAGUGUUUGGAAUUUGGGAUAGUUUUGAUGGCUCCAUGGGUGAGAGAUGAGUGGUAUUGAAGUAUUGGAAAUUUUGGUGAGUGUUAGUAGGAAUUUAGGAAAGUUUAAGUCGAUUUUGGUGAAAGAGUAGAGGUGAGCCUCAUCCUUGGGAAUUUCCAUAUUUUUCAUUAUGUGUUAGAACGUUGAGGAGAAAUUGGAGAUGAUUAGUAAAAAUAAGGUUGGAGUUCUUCUUAGGUUUGGAUGAGUAUAGAGUAAGUGAGGAGGACUUUAUAUUUAUUAAAUUUGAUAUUCUUGUAUUUUUGUCUCGGACCUUAAAUCUCGUUUUGUACAGGACGAGAGGAGACACCACGUGAGGAGGGCUCUGACCGACGUCAGGCAUAGCCGUCUAUAUUGUGAGUGGACACUUUGUUUUUAAUGAAAUAUGCAUGCAUGAUUGGAGAUUUGAAAUAUGUGGGUUAUCUGGCUUAAUUAUUAUUUUGCGCAUUUUAACGUGUGGGACACGUUAUUAAAUUUAAUUUAUUUAUUUCUUAUGCUAUAUUUGUGGAUUAUAUGAUGUCAAUGCUACUAUGUCGUUCCACCUCUCGAGGUGAUGUGACUCUCACGUUUCAAGUGGGGUCACGUAAGCCCUUUCCACCCUAGUGGUGAUGUGAUGUUGCCGGCGGCAUCACGCAAGCCCUGUGCUCUAUCCAUCCACUCGACGUGAAGGUACAGGGAGUAUGGGAGUACUAUGCCUAGGAGGCAACCGAGUCUGGGAGACUCACUUAUAUGGCCAUAUAGGAUAUUCUAUUUGAGUUGUUAAUUUGACUAGCGGGGCUAGUCCAUUAUUUUGAAAGUUUCUUGAAUGAGAAAUCUAUUUAUUUUUUUUAUUGUUUUAUGACUAGCGGGGCUAGUGUGAAUUUUUGUUGAGUUUAUAAUAUUUUCAUGCAUGAAAAUUCUUGAAUUCUGUAAAAAUGGAAAAGCAUAUAAAAAUUUGAUUUAGUAUCUUUAUGCUCUUGGAUACUUAUUAAUUAGUUUAUUUUUCGUACACUCACGCUAACGUUUUUAAAUGCCUGGGCCCUUUGUUUUCAAAUGCCUUUCCCUGGGCCCUUUGUUUUCAAAUGCCCAGAUUGCAGAGCUCCUGUUCGGUUUCACUAGGAGUUGAGGCAUAGUUUUCCGCUGCACCUUGUUGACCGUAGGUUACCUGUUAACCUAUGUGUAGUAUUAUAUUUCUUUCUUGUAGUGCUCUGAUGACCAUCGGGAGAUGUAAAAUAAGUUGGAGUUAUUUUUAAGGGUUAUAACCCAAGUAGGGAGUUUAACUUUGGUUGGUGUUUGUGUUUAAAUAUCGUAGUUGAAUAUUGGGUUUGAAUUGGUUAAGUGCUGUUAUGACUUGGAUUUUGUUGUGGGGAGCGAAGGACUCCAGGAGAUGUGGUUGUUUGAUAUAGUUGAAGUGUUCUUGGUUCUUUUCUCGCAGGUUGGGUUGUCCAUUUUUAGGGGGGAUUAUGCCGAAAUUUCGGUAUAAUCUCUUUUAAGAGUGGAUCCCGCAAGACUUGCCUGUUUUUCUAUGUGUUUUCAGGGCGGGUCUUGUCAGCUGAUCUUAGCAGAUGACUGGCCAGUCCGAUGAUCAUCUGUGGAAGGUUCGUCGACAUCGGGCAGUGGUGGAGGGAGAGGAGGUGCCAAACUUGACGGAGGCGCCACAGGCCGCGAGGGGACCUCUGUGGGGCGUCAAUAUUGCUGGGCCACCUCCUGCAUCAGUCGUUGAGACGGUUCCGCCUAUCACUUCCACUUCCCACUAGUCGGCGGCAUAGUGGAUGGAUGUGGCGCAAGGGAGGAGACGGCUUGGAAUCGGAGGAGGAGACGGUGAUGUGGAGGAGGAGAUGGCUUGGAAAGUUGGAAUUUAGGGAUGUGGAGGAGGAGGAUACGAUCGAUUUAGGGAUUUCAGAGUUAAGACUCGUUGCCCGGCCUCUAUCUGGGUUUACAAACCAAACUCAGCCCACGAAUGAAGCUGUUUCAUCAGUUAAGUGAAACCAAAAAUUUGGCCCAAAAAAUUGGCAAAAUUUUUGACCCGCCAAAUAUUAAGUAGUUAGGUGACGAAUACAUGAACUUUCGUCAUCUCAGUGAACCAAAAAUAUUUCUACCAUUUUCAAAUUUUGGGACUUAAUUGACGAAAACCUAAAAAGAAAAGGUUUUCAUAUAAGUUUUGGAAAUAAUGAGGUAUCUCCUAAAAAGAAAUAGUUUUGAUACAAGGAUUUUUCUUUUUUUCCUAAAAAAUACAUUUGACAAUACAAUACAAAUGUAAUUAAAGAAAUUAUAAAUUAAAGAGUGAAAUAUAUAGAACAGAUGACGAUAGAGAUUGAAGAGUAGAUCGAUUGAAACAAGUCCAAACCCGGUUUGUUCUAGAUUUGGCAUUCGGUGUCCGAUUGACUAUUAUGAUACCUUUCUGGAAGCGGAAUGGCCCAACAAACCAAACUCGUCGAUAUGCCACGACGUAUGGGCUUUUUAGGCCAUCCGAGUCCGUUUAGGCUUUCAAAAUGCGGAUUUACUUAUUUUCAGGCAUUAUUUUUAAUAGUUUGUUUUCGAUUUGGUUUUCUUUUAAUCCAUGGGCUUUUAGGCUUUGAUGUUAGUUGCCCUACGGUUUAUUUGCUCCUAUAUAACUAGCAUUUAUCAGUUGUAGUCGUCAGCUUUCAUAUUAAUAAAAAAUCUUGAGUUUAUCUUAAUUCUCUGGUGGAUUCCAGAAUUCCUCUCGUGGAUUCGAGAGAACUAGACUUGUGAAUUCAAGUCACUGUUGGUGGAUUCUAACGUUUAUAUUUCCGCUACAUCAAAGAGAAAUUUAAAGUAUUACACACUCAAUUUCUGUCAUAUUAAAAAAUACCACUCAUUAAAAGAAAUUAACAUAAGUCAGACGUCAUUGACAUCAUAAUCCUCAUCCUCCGUAUCAUCGUCCUCUUCGUCUUCGUCUUCCUCUUCAUCCUCCUCAUAAUGCGGCUCUUCAUCUUCGUUCUCAUCUUCAUCCUCCUCAUUGUCAACAUGUGGGACUUGAGAUCCAUAAAUUGUAAUGAACGCAUUCCCAUGUACGUAGUGGGGGUCAUUGUUGAUGCGAAUAGUCUGUGUAUCUGGAAUAUAAUUGCUUAACUCUUCUUGAUAUGGUUCUGGCGCCUCUUCUUCAUCACAUGCUCCUUCUGCAUCCCCUUCAAGCGUAGAUGCACUCCAUAUGUUUCGGUGAGACAUCACAUUUACCACCUCGGUAAACUUGGGUCAGUGUUAAACCAUUUACACUUGAACAACACAACUAGCAUACCAGCUCCAUAUAAUAAUUCAACAACGGAGAGUAUGAUCCCGUAGUAGCAAAUUUCAUCCCCCUCUACCAUGAUCCCAUAGUUUUGAGUGACCCGCUCUUCAUCUCGGUAGAACGUCACAAACUUAACACCGUUAACAAAACACCCCCCAUGUACACUGUGAUGUUGCGGCUUACAUGCCAAAUUGUGUAACUCCUGUGAGUAAUCAGGGUUGCUCUCUCAUAGGAGUUCUUCCAUCUAAAAAAGAAAUAAUGAAUAACUCAUAAGUGAUGGGACUAUGUAAACAAUAUCGCCAAUAAAUAAUAAAAUGGAGAUUGAACUUACCCAAUUAAGAAAGUAAUCAGGAAAAGUUCUCUUGUGCAUCUCUUCAGCUCUAUAUGGUUGUCUUGCUAUGAUUUUUUCCAAAUGUUUCUUUUUGUAGUAGUCAAUCUCAGAGCAGUGGUCCAGCACGCACCAAUGAGCUUCACGGAGCUCAGCUUUUGUUAACUUGUUCGAAUUUGGUAAGUUACCAAAUGAACGUACAACUUUUGAAACAACUGAAAGAUUGAAGACAUUUGUGGAUGACUCUGCCUCGGUUGUGUUACUAUGACAUAAGUCGUAGUAAGUUACACACUCAUUUAAGAGGUAUGUGUUCGCUAUUGACCCUUCUAGUUUUCCUCUGUUGCCGACAUAUUUUUUGUACUCCCCAAGUUGUCUAAAAUUUAAGAUGUUAUUACUGUACAAACAAUAAAAUGUAAAUGUAAACUGGUGAUAAAAGUGUGCAAUGUACCUUUCUUAUGAGAACAUACAGGUAUAGUGUACUGGACCAGUACCAUCGCUUGUUCUGGUAGGUGGAUCAUGAGGUGAAUCAUGAUGUCGAAAAAAGAAGGCGGGAAAAUCCGCUCCAACUUGCACAUGAUGUAGACAAUGUCCUCUUUUAAUCUAAGAACAUUUGACUUCUCUAGCUCUCUAGCACAUAACUUCUGAAAGAAUUUAGACACCGCUACUAACGGCUCUACCACAUCAGGACACAAAUAUGGUCGAAUUACCACUGGAAAAAAAACGUUGUAGCAUGAUAUGACAGUCAUGAGUCUUUAAUCCAAAUAGCUUAUUCUCCCCCACUUUUACACAUCGAGAUAUAUUUCCUGCAUAACCAUGAGGAUACUUAAUAGCUUCAAACCAUUUGAAAACUUUCUUCUCAUUAGCCGGAUUAAUCCUGUAAUGUGCAAGAGGCAUUGACCCCGACGUUGUUAGCCACAAGUGAGGGCGUAUGUUCAUGAGUUGAAGAUCUUUGCGCGCCUUCACAAUGUCCUUAGUCUUAUCUUUAAACCCGAAAACUGUUCCCACAAUGCUGUUACAAACAUUCUUCUCUAUAUGCAUGACAUCAAGGCAGUGUCUUAUUCUCAAUUUCUUCCAGUAAGGCAAUUCAAAAAAUAUACUCUUGUGCGUCCAGUUCUCCAAUCUAGAAGGACGUUUUGGAUUCCGAGCUAACACGUCAGGAUCACUGCUAAGACGUCCGAAAUCAAAAGAGUUUAACAUGUCCAAAAUCCACUCACCAGACCGCUCUUAGAGUUUUAAAGCAAACUCUUGCUUCCCAUCGAAUGAAGCCACAUCAAAUCGCCAUGGAUGAUCUUCCGGAAGCCCUGUACGACUCCCCAAGUAACACACCUUUCCAGCAUGCCAACUAGCAUUUAGGUCUCCUAAGCAAAUUGGACAAGCCAUGUAACCUUUAGUGGUUUGAGACGACAACAUCUCAUAUCCAGGAAAAUCACUAAUGGUCCAAACCACUGUUGCUUUCAUCCUGAAUGAAGUUUGACUAUACCAGUCAAAAGUAGGGACUCUAUUUUCCCAUAAUUCUUUUAACUCGUCAAUCAAUGGUCUCAUGUACACAUCAAGACAUUAACAAAGUCAGCAUACUAAAUUCCUUCUUCAUACACAUCCAUGGAGGUAGGUUGUACACCACAACAAUAACAGGCCAAAUACUAUAAGACAAAUUCAUGUUUCAGGUAGGAUUAAACCCGUCCAAGUCUUACAUUUCGAAUGUCUUCUGCAAAAUCAGGAAAUGAUCUGUCAAAUGAUUUCCAAACCUCCCCAUCUGCGGAUUGUCUGAGAGUGUCAUCAUUUUUUCUCGUUACCCCGUGCCAUCUCAUCUUUUCUGAAGUGUGUGAAGACAUGUACAUACGCUUCAACCUAGGAAUCAAUGGGAAAUAAUGAAGCACCUUCUUUGGAAUCCUUUUCUUCUUAGAUGAAGAAGAUGAUGACUUCCACCUCAACGCUUUGCACACUGGACAGUAAUCUAGGUCUUUGUUGAUGACUCCAUAAAACAAAACGUAGUUAUUCUUGCAUGCGUCAUUCUCAUAACCGAGGCCAAGAUCUUUCAACAUACUCUGUACCUUAUCAAAGCUGUGGGGAAAGUUGUUUCCUGGAGGAAGCAAUUUCUUGAUGUUCACCAAGUUACGGUUAAAUGACACAUUCGACCAAUUGCUGUCAACUUUGGUUAUAAUCUGUUCAAUGAUGGCACCCAAGACAGUUACAUUACACCCAGGGUACAAUGGGGUCUGUGCUUUAUCAAGCAGCCUAUUAUACUUAUCGUAAUCAUCAUUGUCAACAUUUGAAAAAGCAUAGUCUGCAUCAGUGGUCUCGUAAACAACCUCUUCCUCAUGUCUUGCAGCAAAUGAAGAAAAAGCAUCAUGUAUAAUGUCCAUAGAAGGAUCCACAUAAGGGUCGAAACUACUGCUGGAUGAGCCAGCAUGCUAAAAGUGUCCCGCUCGGAUUUCUUCCAAGGUAGGUUCAUUAUCUAAUGUUUCACCAUGUAGACUCCAUGUAAUACGUCUUGUAUUCAGGUGUUCGUGGAUUUCAUAAAUCGUCUUCCACUUAGUAUUAUGACAUUCAACACACGGACACCUGUGUAGAGUUCUGCCAUCAGCAUGUUUAAGUACAAAUAACAAAAAAUCUAGAAUUCUUUGUUGGUAUUCAGGGUUCCCCCAGUCGUACUGCAUCCAUCUCUUGUCCAUGUCCUGUCAUAUAUAUAAACAACAAAUAAGCAAUAGUAGUUCAAAAAACACAACAACAAAAACAUGUAUUUGAUUGCUAAGUUAUGUUUCUAAGUUAUAAACAUAACAAAAUUAUGUUCUCCUAAAAUGAUUCUUGAAUUGUCCCAUUCAGGAGAACACGAUUUUGUUUCUAAGUUUAUAAUUCUUGUCUUUUCGAUUUCGAUGUGGGAAAAUUUCGGUAGCAUCUUCCUAUAGUCCCUCUAGUGUAUAAAUAACUAUACCUAGUAUGCACUCGAGGAACAGUAACGAGAGACAGUGUCGAAACAUAUACCCACAACCGAAAACGAAAAGACAAGAACAACAAACUACAUAACAAAAUUAUGUUCUCCUAAACUGUCCAAAAAUGGGACAAUUCAAGAAUCAUUUUGUCAAACACAGUUGUGACAAGAUUGUGACAAGAUGAUUCUCAAACGGGAUUUCUAAAGUUCAAAUUUAGGUGAAUGAAAGAAUAUAAUCUUAUAUUCUUAUAUUUGAUUAUCACAAAAUAAACACAACAUAUAUAAUCAUUUGAAUGCACAAAAAAUUUUCACAAAACCAAACAAUUAAGUAUAUUUACAUAUAUCCCUAACAUAAUUAAAUAAUUUUCUCAAAACCUAAUAAUAGUAAAGCAUAUAUAUAAUCAACAAAUUAAACUAAUUAACUCUAAUAUUCACAAAUUAAAAUAACUAACUUUAAAAAUCAACAAUUAAGAAUCAACAUAUAUAUAUAUAUAUAUAUAUAUAUAUAUAUAUAUCAAUCCACAUUAAUCAUCACCCAACAAUAUUAACAACACGCUUGUGACCGGAAUCUUCGCCAGAAAACUCAUUGGAAAACAUGAAAAAAUAUGGUGGAGAAAGAGAGAGAAAGAGAUUAUACCAAACUAUAAAUCAAUGCAUAGGUAGACAAGCAAAGGUUUCAGAGACUGGCCUGAAUUUGAAAGGCUUCACACCGGGUAUUGAAAAUCGAAGCAAAUUUUGAGAGAGAGAAUUGAGUGUUUUGAAAUGAGAGAUGCAGAUCUAGAAACGCAGUAGGGUGUUAUAAAAGCAAGUUCAGUAAGGUGACGAAAUAAAUACUUUCAUCACCAGAGUAACCUGUUACAUGACGAAACAUAUUUUCGUCACCUAAGAGAGAACACUUUAGUGACGAAAAAAUGUUUCGUCACCUACCCCAUCACUUACAUGACGAAUUAAAUUUUCGUCACCUAAGUGCUACAAACUUUGGUGACGAAAAUUUAAUUCAUCACGUACACCAUCACUUAAAUGAUGAAACAUAUUUUCGUCACCUAAGUGCUAAAAGCUUUGGUGACGAAAAUAUUUUUCGUCACCUAUCUUGUCACUUACAUGACGAAAUAUAUUUUCGUCACCUAAGAGAGAAACCCUUUUGUGUCGAAAAUAUUUUUCGUCACCUUCCCUAUAACUUACAUGACAAAAGUUAUUUUCGUCACCUAAGUGAGAUCUAAGGUGACAAAAUGAGUGACGAAAUAACCUUACCUGACUUAGAUGACGAAAACUUGUACUGAGGUGACGAAACGGGUUUCAUCACUAAAGUGUUCUCUUAGGUGAUGAAUUAUAAAUAUUUCGUCACCUUAGAACCUUUUUCUGGUAGUAUAUACUUCAAUCAGCGUUGGCGAGAUUCAAAUUUAGAUAUGAUAGUUUCACACAUAGGCUCUUAACAACUCGACUACCUAUGGUAGUUACUGUUUACUUAUUCAUAAUUGUGAUGAUUACUAAAGAUAUAAGUGUCAAAUAAUUGAAAUAUAUAAAAACAAUAACAUUUAUAUUUAUACUAUAUACUAAAACUCAGUUCCCUUAGGAACAAGAACGUACCAUUUGUCAUUCUUUCCGUUUUUAUUACAACCCUGCCACUCGCUUUAAUAUAUGUAAUUUACAUUUUUGUCCAUAUUUUUCAUUUUUUUAAAACUUUAUCAUUUAGGGAUCAAAAUUACCUUUUUAUCUAUCUUUUUGGUUUUUACAUUUGAUCUUUUUUCAUGUUUUGGCCCCAAACAAAGCUUGGGUACACCGCCUAGUUGAAGCUAAUGAAGCUUUUACGACUCUAUAUGAGUAGGAGAUCGAUAAACAUAUACUAGAGAGAAAUUAAGAACUCUUUAUCAAACGAACUACAAUCACACAAUGAAGGAAAUAUAUCUCCAGUCAAGUGAGCUAUCAACAUCUAACAAAAUGAAAUAUACACUACUACACAUGCUAUAUAAGUAUACAAGAGACUUGGAGAAUGACAUCAGAAAUCAUUCGACAUUGAUAAGUUUUUCUGGGCGAAAUAGGCUUGGUAUGAGCUAAGGCUAGUUAAGUAUACAGGUUUGAAUAUUUCGAUCUCUUCGAAAUGGAAAAUGUCCAAACUCCAAAGUCUAAAGCAACAAAGAGAAUGAGGCCGGGCACUGGCGUUUAGUUGUGUGUGUGUGUGUUUAUUUAUUUAUUUUCCUUUUUUUUUGAAACAAACCUCGCAAAUGCGAGCUAGAAGAUUUAUUAAGAAUAAAUAAAAUUACAUGCACAAGAACAGGACAAAUCCUGCUCCAUCACGAAAUAAAGUUCUUAAAUUAUCGAAAACGGAAAUUGGGAAGACCCAGUUUAUCUCUAAUGCAAAAUUGACUAUUAAAAGUUGGAGAUGAAUCAAACCAAGUAAAACCUGUACUUGAAGCACCAAAAUUGUCCAAAGCAUCAGCCACCUGGUUUCCUUCUCGAAAAAUAUAGGAACAACAGAAUUGCAUCAUUGAAAUCCGAUGCACACAAUUCUUCGAUGAGGGCACUAGCGUUAGAUCGUGCCUAUCUUUUUAACAAAAUUAAAAUACUUAUCACUGCUGCACAAACUAAACUUGGGACCAAAGAAAAUGACAAUUAUGGGAAGAUCAUGGGGGGGGGGGGGGCAGCUCUUCAUAUGGAUUGCCCACCCACUUCCAGUUCUCGUUAUUCCGUCACCUUUUUAUUCCCUGAACCAACAAAAAGAAUAAUGGAACCAAAAUAAAAGGCAGCCAAUUCCUCUAUGGGUAUUGGUCGGUUUCCACCCCCAUAAAAACCUUUAAAAAAUUGUCAGCAAAGUUAAAAGUUUGAAGCACCUCCACUACCAAACCCUAUUAUAUAUACACCCUCCUCAAGCUUUCUGAUUCUGCAUGAACCCCAAACCCCAAAAACCCCUAGUCUUCACCUUGUCCAACUUGCUCAAAUAGUACAACUCAAACUGGCAUUCUUCACUUCCCACUAGUUCCUACUUCCCAAAACGUAGGGUGACAGUGACAAACCAGCCAGCCUUGUUGAGUUUCAGUGAAGUAAACUCUUUCUUUGUUAGAUAUAGCACUCAAAACUCUUUGUUCCCAACAUUGACCAGAACUUAGUGAACCCUUCACCAUGAAGAAGCUUUCCAAAUUGUCACUAGUGUGCGUUAUAUUCUUUGGCUUUUUGCUUCUGUCAACCCAAGCCAGAUGGCAUAACCAUACCAAACACAGCAAACACAACCACCCUCACAAGAUUUCUUACAUUUCACAGCCUCCUUCCUCUUCACCUGGACCUGCUGCUAGCUACAGUCCUCCUCCUGAAGAGCCUAAGAAUCCAUACAACUCCACACCUGGUGUUUUCGAUGUUCGAUUAUAUGGGGCUGUGGGGGAUGGCCAAACAGAUGACACUCAAGCCUUUAAAAUGGCUUGGGACACAGCCUGCCAAAGUGAAUCACCAGCAAAGAUACUUGUUCCGAACCAUUUCACAUUCAUGAUUCAGUCCACAAUAUUUACGGGUCCCUGCCUUUCAGGCCUGGUGUUACAGGUAAUGUACUAAUUCUCUAUCACUUUUUGGCUAACUCAAUGUAAGAAAAAGACUAAAGUCCUUUGGAUACAUUUGGUAAUGUGAAUUAGGUCGAUGGGGUUAUAGUACCACCUGAUGGACCAGAGUCCUGGCCAAAAAACAACAGCAGGCGCCAAUGGCUCGUUUUUUAUCGAAUCAACAAGAUGUCGCUGCAAGGGAGUGGUGUUAUAGAUGGGAGAGGAGACAAAUGGUGGCAACUUCCCUGCAAGCCCCACAUGGUAUUUUGUUUAAGUUGUUCAUAUUUGGUCUUAAACAUUUAGUGAUCUAGGAAACUGCUUACAUUGAUCAAUUUUUCACAGGGAAUAAAUGGAACCACCUUGCCUGGACCAUGUGAUAGCCCAGUUGUAAGUUUCAAAUUUUUUGUUUUAAGUAACAUCAGCUAACUAUAUUAUUGAGCUUUGAUUUAAUAUGAUGAUUUAUUUAUGCAGGCCAUUAGAUUUUUCAUGAGCUCUAACUUGACAGUACAAGGUCUUAGGAUUAAGAAUAGCCCCCAAUUCCACUUCAGAUUUGAUGGUUGCAUAAAUGUGAAUGUAGACUCCAUUUCUAUAUCAGCUCCUGCUCGAAGUCCGAAUACAGAUGGGAUUCACAUAGAGAACACCAAUGAUGUAAAAAUUUAUAAUUCUGUAAUUUCUAAUGGUACGAGCACUGUACUGAACCUUCAAAUCUACUACUUGUCAGCGAAUUGGCUCUCAUGCAUGAUGUUACUAAUAUCACUUCUGUUCUUUAGGUGAUGAUUGUGUAUCAAUUGGAUCAGGCUGUUAUGAUGUAGACAUUAGAAACAUCACUUGUGGCCCUGGUCAUGGAAUCAGGUAAUUCGCUAUUGUUUUGGUUUACUAAUCAGUAUCACAUGAUCUAAUUAAUUUACAAAUUUGUGAUUUUUUAUUUCGACUGACCUUUGUGUUCCUCACCCUUGUGCUUAGCAUUGGGAGUCUCGGAAACCACAACUCGCGAGCCUGUGUUAAAAAUAUUACAGUUCGAGACUCUAUUAUUAGAGUUUCGGAUAAUGGAGUUAGGAUCAAGACAUGGCAGGGUGGAUCCGGAGCAGUGUCCGGAGUAACUUUCAGUAACAUUCACAUGGACAAUGUUAGGAACCCCAUUAUGAUUGAUCAAUUUUACUGCCUUACUAAGCAGUGCAGCAAUCAAACCGCAGCGGUAUAUGUAUCGAACAUCCUAUACUCGGGCAUAAAAGGAACCUAUGAUGUCCGGAAUGCUCCAAUGCAUUUUGGCUGCAGUGAUUCUAUGCCAUGCACCAACUUAACACUCUCAGAUGUUGAGCUUCUUCCAGCUGUAGGAGAUAUGAUGUCAGACCCUUAUUGUUGGAAUGCUUACGGACAACUGCAAACGCUUACUAUUCCACCAGUCUCUUGCUUGUUGGAGGGUGCUCCUAGAACUUUACUGAGCGAUGAAAUAGACCGCUGCUGAUACAUCAGUCCAUGGAUUCAUCUUAGGUCUGUAAAGCAAUUAGAAAUCCAUAACUACAAGAGGAAUUAGGAAUCUUUCUGGAUUGUAAUUCUAAUUUUAAUUGUGUGAUUAUAGAGGAGAGAUAUUUAUGCGCUCCCUAUCUUAUCAUAUAUAUACAAUCUAUGUUUUUCUUCAAGUUCUUGUCCUGGAGAUGAAUUUUUAUAGCUUGUAUUUAGAAAAAGUAUUCUAGCUCUGCUGCUGUAACUCAUGUUUGAUUUGUAGGGAAUGUUGGAUAACCAUUUUACUUGGGAAAAUUGAAUAAGCUGCAGUAAGACGACAAUGUAUAAUUGUAUAUCAACCUAUCAAUAUGGGAUGCACUCUCAGAUAUGUGAAACCAGAUAGAGAAACUGAGAAACUUGCUGGUGUAGGGUUUAGGGUUUAGGGCCCUAAACCUGGUGUAGCCCCACACUAAACCUUGGAAAUUAACCAACAAAGAAUUGGAUGAUGCGAAUUUGAGGCUUCGAGAUUUCAUAUAUAUACCAUCUUAGACAAGCAUGCACUGCAUGUAUAAUCAAACUAUAUAACGACCUUUUCAAAUAAAAGUAAACUGUUAUCUAGCCAUGGAUGCCAUUCACAGAGACUACGGUAAACUUUAGUUUUCUUUCCUUGCAUUCAGCGCACCUUAAAUUAAGCAUUCGAAAAUGCGCAUAUAAUCGGUUAGCAAUUGAGACACCAUGCAGAGCAGGCAUCCACAUAUAGCAGUAGUUUUUUAGGUUCAUGUUGUCAGAUAAAUAAAAGCUUACAUGUACCAGUCUCAUGUUUGUCAAGUUGAUGCAUGGGGCAGCUAGAAUUUUUAAGGUUAACUUGGCUCUCUAACAGCAAAAUCACACUACUUUUAAUAAGGGAUAGUAACUAAUCUUCAUUUGCAGUAGUAGUAAUUAUUAAAUGUGUAAAAGUUCCCAUUUCUAGUUCUAGUAAGCUUGCACUAAAUUAUUAGAUUAAAGCUUUUGUGACAUAGCUAGUCAGACUCAGAGAAUAAUUAAGAAUAUAAAUUUGGCAAAUGAUGACAGAUUUACAAUACCAUUGUCUUCUUAACCUAGAUUAGAAAUUGUAGAACAUUCCAAAUUUCCAUUAACAAUUAGGAGAGAGAGAGAGAGAGAGAGAGAGAGAGAGAGAUUGUUCAAAAUUAAGAAACUGAAUAGCUUAAAAGCCGGUUGAAAGAUGAUGAUUAGAGAAUAAUAGUAUUGUAUGAGAGUGAGUGAAGUUAAGAGGAUUUGUCGACUAGAACAGUCAGAAGAGCACUGAGUUUGAUAUUGGUUUUUUGGUGUUGGAGUGGAGAGGAAGGAGGGACAUUCUCUAUGGCUUUCUUGCACGCGCAGUCUCCGAUAUGAGAAGUAGAGUAGUCUGAUAAAGAAAAAGUUUAGGUCGGUGCACGGGCUAGAGUCCAAUGCUCACCCACCAAAUUUGCCUUUUCCAUCAAUCUAAGCUCUCUACUUCCUCCACAAAAUAUAUUAGGUAUUUCAACCCCUCACCGGCUUGAACAUCGAUCUAGCUAGCUAGCACCCUUUUUUUUUUCAUCGACUGAUGGGGCUUGCUUGUAAGAAAAUGCUCAGAACAAAUACGAGUUCCUGAAGCUGCGAUUGAUUCUAUAAGAAAAUGCUCACACGUACAUAACUGUUAGGUCCCCUACCAUUUCUACAUUUCAGAAUCUAAGCUCGCUUUAUCACCUUUCGGCACAUGCAAUUCUCUCCUUGGUCUCUUAUGAACCAUAACCACUGUUUCUCUUCAAUUCCAUUCCAAUGAUAUCGGUUUAACAUAUGUAAUGCCUUAAGAUGUGUUUGUGGAUCUCUUCCCUAAAGUUUUAGCUUUUAAAGGUGGAAUGGUUAUCACAUAUCUAACUUGUUGGUAUAAGAUUUACUUAUAAAUAUGUAUGCGGAAUUAUAAGUAUGGAGAGAGGAUGAGAAGCGGACGUCGGCACUCGGCUUAAAGUGCGGACGUCGAGUGCGGACGUCCGUCCGUUCUCCACCCUCCGGCGCCGGCGACGGCGCGCCUCCACCCCAUAACACUCCAGCAGCGUCCCCGACCACUUUCCCUCCCCGGCGAGUCUGUUUUUUUCCAGUUUCCGGCGAGAUCGAAUUUGUUUGAAGUUUUGGGUGAUCUCGCCGAAAAACUGGAAAAGAACGGACUCGCCGGGGAGAGAAAGUGGUCAGGGACGCUGCUGGAGUGUUCUGGGGUGGAGGCGCGCCGUCGCUAUCGCCGGUGCCGGAGGGUGGAGAACGGACGGACAUCCGCACUUUAAGGCCGGUGCGGACGUUCGCUCCACAUCCGGCCUGUAUAAGUACAUAUUCAAGACAAGAACACAUAUACGAUGUAUAUACAAGAGUGAAAUGCUAACCUGAAUAAGACAUAUCUGAUCUUCUCCUCUGAACAAUCGACUAAAGGCAAUCUCCACUUAUGGGGCUGAGAACUUGAAUGCUUGGGGUGAUUGUUAGAGCAGGGAUCAAGGUCAAUAUAUAGACAUUGAGGAUUAGGUGCCUCCCAUAAAGGUUUCCUAAUCCUUCUACAUUAAGGCCAACCUUUUUCCUGUUCCAUAUGCAAAUAGGUAUACUUCAUUACCUAAUAAGUAAACCUUACAAAUCAGUACUGAUACUAACAGGAAAUUAAUCAUGAGUCUGAUGAAGGCAAGAAAUGUCUUACUUAUUGCUUAUUUUGUAAUUAUGUAGCUUAGUUAUUGAUACUUAGUGAAUCAUUGAUAUUUGAUAGUCCACAUUAAGUCUUACAGUUGGUACUAGAGUGGGUUUGAUUCCGAUCGAGACUUUCGGUUCUCCUUUCUCAGUUAUUGGUUAAGUGAGUUUGAAUAAGGAAGUUGGUGUAUGUUUACAUUGUAUGCAUGGUCGUUGUACUAAUAAUACUAGCUAGCUCGUCGCACUCUUGCAGUAAUCUGAGAUCCUCUCAAAGUUCCUCCAUUAGAAAUAUUGAUGGGAAUUUUGGAAGGUCUGAACUUUGAAGUAACCCGCUCCUCAACAGGGGCGGAACCAUGUUACGGUUCGAAGGGGUUCGGACCCCCCCUGAUGUUUUGGCAGAUGAUCGAUUCUCAUGUGAAAUUAUUGAUAUUUAAUUCAUUUGAUCAACUAUAUAUAAGUAACUAAUUAACCGGCGUUGGUUCUUAAUCAAAAACUAACCAUUAGUUGGUUAGAUUAAUAGAAGGAAAUAUAUAAUCACUAUAGUUAGGCCGUGGUAAUUAAUGGUUUUUGCUUCUUUUUUUUUCUUUACAAAUAUGAUUUUAGCUUGGAAUGAAAGAAAAUUUUACGUUAAUUUUGUACGAGAAAUUUUAUUCACACACCUCAAAAUACUAGAUACACAUAUCUUUUAUCACAUAAUUUAUACAAGAUUUUGUGGUUACGUAAAAUUACUAAAAGAGACAUUCAUAUUGGGGAAAAUGUCUAUUUAAUACUAAUUGUAACCCUUCAUUGCCCAUUUCAAUGACAAUCUUUUCUAUGAGCCCAUUUGAAUAAAAGUAAACUUUUUUUAUGCCCAAAUGGCCAAAUCUUUACUAAGGUCUCCACAAACUAUAUUAUUUUAAGACUAUUUUGCUCCUACCUCUUCAACAUGAAAAGACUUGGCCAGAACCUCGGACUCCGGUCACCGGCAGCUAGACUCCGAUCACCGGCCGUUGGACUCCGGUGACCGGCCGCCGGACUCCGGUGACCGGAAUUUUCCCGACCUCCGGACUCCACUCACCGGAAUUUCCCCGACAGCCGGACUCUGGUCACCGGAAUUUCCCCAGUAACCCUAGUUACUGACCAGUUACUGACACCUAGUAACCAGUUACUGACCCCCAGUAACCAGUUCUUGAAACCUAGUAACCAUUUACUAAAAUGCCCAAAUGCCCAAAAACGGCUAAAACAAUGCCCAAUCUAAUGAAAAAAAAAUUUCAUUGCCCAUAUCAAUGAUUCUUAACAAAAAGACAUUUUCACCCUUUUUAGUAAUAACACCACCUCGUUUUUUUACAUAUCAAAAUUCAACUCUCUCUUCUCUUUCUCUUUCUCUUUCUCUUUCUCCUCUCUCCUCUCUCUCUCCUCUCUCAGAUGUGAUCUGAAUCCACUUGNNNNNNNNNNNNNNNNNNNNAACACACACACACACACACACACACACACUCUCUCUCUCUCUCUCUCUCUCUCUCUCUCUCUCUCCUUCCAACGCCGUCGUCUCUCCUCCACGCUCCGAUGCCUCAUCUCCGGCGUCGACGGCGGUGGCGUCUCCGACGAGUUCGUCUCCACUCGGAAGUCCAACCUUGACCGCUGAUUCUCCGUCAUCGCCAACAUGCUCAAGUGGAUUGAGCCGCUUGACAGCUCCGUCAUCUCCAAAGGCGUAUCGGAUUCCGCUAAGGACUCGAUGAAGCAGACCAUCUCUACUAUGCUGGGGCUGCUUCUGUCCGAUCAGUUCUCCGUCACCGUUAAGGUUUCUAGAGCUUCGUUCGAUCGCCUCAUUGCCUCUUCCAUUAUCACCGGGUAUUGAUUGUGAUAGAUGAGCAAAUUGGUUUAGUCUAUUUUUGGGUUAUAACUUGCUGAAGUAGAGAAUUUUGUAUUGGAACUAUGUUUGUAUGUGUUUUGAAUGAUUAUUGGGGGUCAUUAAAAGUCAUUGGGAGUUGGUAAUUUUUUUUAAGGUUUCUUUUUUGUUAGAAUCACCUUCUACUUAUUCUUCUUCUACUAUCUUCUUCGUUCUUCUGUGUUUUUAUUGAUUAUUGGGGAUAGUAACCCGAUUAUUAGGGGUUAGUAAUUUGAUUAUUAAGGUUAAUAACUUGAUUAUUUUCUAGUAUUUUUUCUGUUCUAUUACAUUAAGAUGAAAUAAGUAGAUUAUUGUGGGUCAGUAACUAAUUAUUGAGGAUUAGUAACUCAGUUACUGGGGGUCAGUAACUGGUUACUGGGUGUCAGUAUCUGGCCAGUAACUGGUCAGUAACUAGUUACUGGAUGUCAGUAACUGGUCAGUAACUAGUUAUUGGGGGCCAGUAACUAGUUACAGGGAAAAUUUCGGCGACCGGAGUCCGGCGGUUGAGAAAAUUCCGGUGACCGGAGUCCGGCGGCCGGUGACCAGAGUCCGGUGAGAUUCCGGCCAAGUAUUCUCUCUUUCAUUUUCUCUCUCUAUACAUGUUUAAGGGGUGAGGGUAAAAUAGUCUUAAAAUAAUAUAGUUUGUUAAGACUUUAGUAAAGAUUUGUGCAUUUGGUCAUAAAGAUUUGUGUAUUUGGGCAUAAAAAAGAUUACCUUAUAUUGAAAUGGGCUAAUGAAAAAGAUUGUUAUUGGAAUGGGAAAUAAGAGGUUUAAAUUAGUACUAAAUAUGCAUUUUCCCUAAAAGUAAAGAAACGUAGUUAAAAUUGAAUAUCCCGCUUACGGGUUUUCUUCUCUCUACGAUGGUAUUAUAAUUCUUUUCUGGUAAGGAAGAACUAGAGAUCCAGUUCAUAGAGAUGCUAGAAAUUCAGUGCUUGUGACACAGUACGGAAACUCAAUGCUUGUGACCUCUACGAGAUUGCUAUUCUAAAUUUUCACAAGCAUCAAAGACACAUUGGCCUAUAGCAAGUUUUUUCGAGAAGUACAACCUGGAAGGAGGAGAUGUAGUACAAUAUAUCUACCACGAAGAAGCUGAGUUUUCAAAGAAGAUUCAUAAAGCAAAUGGAAU